GAUGAACGCUAGCGGCAGGCUUAAUACAUGCAAGUCGUACGGCAGCACGGGUAGCAAUACCUGGUGGCGAGUGGCGCACGGGUGCGUAACGCGUAUGCAACCUACCCUUAACAGAGACAUAACCUGGCGAAAGCUGGGCUAAUAUCUCAUGAGGUUAUAGAGGGGCAUCCCUAAAUAAUCAAAGCAGCGAUGUGGUUAAGGAUGGGCAUGCGUCCCAUUAGCUAGUUGGUGAGGUAACGGCUCACCAAGGCGACGAUGGGUAGGGGUUCUGAGAGGAAGGUCCCCCACACUGGUACUGAGACACGGACCAGACUCCUACGGGAGGCAGCAGUAAGGAAUAUUGGGCAAUGGUCGGAAGACUGACCCAGCCAUGCCGCGUGCAGGAAGAAGGCCCUAUGGGUUGUAAACUGCUUUAGCCAGGGGCUAAACCUACCGAUGCGUUGGUAGCUGAAGGUACCUGGAGAAUAAGCAUCGGCUAACUCCGUGCCAGCAGCCGCGGUAAUACGGAGGAUGCGAGCGUUAUCCGGAUUUACUGGGUUUAAAGGGUGCGCAGGCGGUUGUUUAAGUCAGGGGUGAAAGCCCUAUGCUCAACAUAGGGAUUGCCUUUGAUACUGAACGGCUAGAGUGAAGAUGGAGUGGGUGGAAUGUGUUGUGUAGCGGUGAAAUGCAUAGAUAUAACACAGAACACCGAUCGCGAAGGCAGCUCACUAAUUUUCAACUGACGCUCAUGCACGAAAGCGUGGGGAUCAAACA
This 753-nucleotide ribosomal RNA is filed under the name uncultured Bacteroidota bacterium. RNAcentral's name for it is "bacterial SSU rRNA". It matches the Rfam family "Bacterial small subunit ribosomal RNA", at positions 28 to 774 of the family's 1533-position model. Lineage: Bacteria; Pseudomonadati; Bacteroidota. The record is from RNAcentral.